GCCAGGCGUGGUGGCGCACACCUGUAAUCCCAGCUACUUGGGAGACUGAGGCAGGAGACUCGCUUGAACCUGGGAGGCGGAGGUUGCAGUGAGCUGAGAUCUUGCCACUGCACUCCAGCCUGGGUGACAGAGCGAGACUCUGUCUCAA
RNAcentral lists this non-coding RNA (148 nucleotides) under Gorilla gorilla gorilla (western lowland gorilla). Lineage: Eukaryota; Metazoa; Chordata; Mammalia; Primates; Hominidae. The record is from Rfam by way of RNAcentral.